UACGAAGGGGGCUAGCGUUGUUCGGAAUUACUGGGCGUAAAGGGCGCGUAGGCUUUGCUGUAAGUCAGGCGUGAAAUCCCCGGGCUCAACCUGGGAAUUGCGUUUGAUACUGCGGCGCUGGAAUGCAGGAGAGGAUGGCGGAAUUCCCAGUGUAGAGGUGAAAUUCGUAGAUAUUGGGAAGAACACCGGUGGCGAAGGCGGCCAUCUGGCCUGUAAUUGACGCUGAGGCGCGAAAGCGUGGGGAGCAAACAGG
Molecule: ribosomal RNA, 253 nt
Filed under: uncultured bacterium
Lineage: Bacteria
Description: partial 16S ribosomal RNA
Rfam family: Bacterial small subunit ribosomal RNA
Source: RNAcentral